CCUACGGGUGGCAGCAGUGGGGAAUAUUGGGCAAUGGGCGCAAGCCUGACCCAGCAACGCCGCGUGAAGGAAGAAGGCUUUCGGGUUGUAAACUUCUUUUCGCAGGGACGAAACAAGUGCCGGUACCUGAGGAAUAAGCCACGGCUAACUACGUGCCAGCAGCCGCUGUAAUCCGUCGGUGGCAAGCGUUAUCCGGAUUUACUGGGUGUAAGGGGCGAGUAGGGGGGAAAGCAAGUCAGAUGUGAAAACCAUGGGCUCCACCUGUGGCGUGCAUUUGAAACUGUUUUUCUUGAGUACUGGAGAGGCAGACGGAAUUCCUAGUGUAGCGGUGAAAUGCGUAGAUAUGAGGAGGAACACCAGUGGCGAAGGCGGUAUGCUGGACAGCAACUGACGCUGAGGCGCGAAAGCGUGGGGAGCAAACAGGAUUAGAUACCCCAGUAGUC
Molecule: ribosomal RNA, 443 nt
Filed under: uncultured bacterium
Lineage: Bacteria
Description: partial 16S ribosomal RNA
Rfam family: Bacterial small subunit ribosomal RNA
Source: RNAcentral